This 253-nucleotide unclassified non-coding RNA is filed under the name uncultured Parachlamydiaceae bacterium. RNAcentral describes it as "contains 16S-23S intergenic spacer region". It matches the Rfam family "Bacterial small subunit ribosomal RNA", at positions 524 to 776 of the family's 1533-position model. Lineage: Bacteria; Pseudomonadati; Chlamydiota; Chlamydiia; Parachlamydiales; Parachlamydiaceae. The record is from RNAcentral.
UACGGAGGGUGCAAGCAUUAAUCGGAUUUAUUGGGCGUAAAGGGCGUCUAGGCGGGAACGAAAGUCAGAUGUGAAAUUUCGGGGCUCAACCCCGAAGCGGCAUUUGAAACUUCGUUUCUUGAGGGUAGUUGGAGAAAGUAGAAUUCCACAAGUAGCGGUGAAAUGCGUAGAUAUGUGGAAGAAUACCGGUGGCGAAGGCGACUUUCUAAAUUAUUCCUGACGCUGAAGCGCGAAAGCAAGGGGAGCAAACAGG